Molecule: ribosomal RNA, 620 nt
Filed under: Oxalobacteraceae bacterium Ri2Pt_4022
Lineage: Bacteria; Pseudomonadati; Pseudomonadota; Betaproteobacteria; Burkholderiales; Oxalobacteraceae
Description: bacterial SSU rRNA
Rfam family: Bacterial small subunit ribosomal RNA
Source: RNAcentral
AAUGCCGCGUGAGUGAAGAAGGCCUUCGGGUUGUAAAGCUCUUUUGUCAGGGAAGAAACGGUGUGGGCUAAUAUCUCAUGCUAAUGACGGUACCUGAAGAAUAAGCACCGGCUAACUACGUGCCAGCAGCCGCGGUAAUACGUAGGGUGCAAGCGUUAAUCGGAAUUACUGGGCGUAAAGCGUGCGCAGGCGGUUUUGUAAGACUGUCGUGAAAUCCCCGGGCUCAACCUGGGAAUGGCGAUGGUGACUGCAAGGCUAGAGUUUGGCAGAGGGGGGUAGAAUUCCACGUGUAGCAGUGAAAUGCGUAGAUAUGUGGAGGAACACCGAUGGCGAAGGCAGCCCCCUGGGUCAAAACUGACGCUCAUGCACGAAAGCGUGGGGAGCAAACAGGAUUAGAUACCCUGGUAGUCCACGCCCUAAACGAUGUCUACUAGUUGUCGGGUUUUAAUUAACUUGGUAACGCAGCUAACGCGUGAAGUAGACCGCCUGGGGAGUACGGUCGCAAGAUUAAAACUCAAAGGAAUUGACGGGGACCCGCACAAGCGGUGGAUGAUGUGGAUUAAUUCGAUGCAACGCGAAAAACCUUACCUACCCUUGACAUGGAUGGAAUCCCGGAGAGA